GAGGGUAUAGCUCAGUGGUACAGCACAUGCUUAGCAUGCAAGUCCUGGGUUCAACCCCCAGUAUCUCCA
This 69-nucleotide transfer RNA is filed under the name Camelus bactrianus (Bactrian camel). It matches the Rfam family "tRNA". Rfam says of the family: Transfer RNA (tRNA) molecules are approximately 80 nucleotides in length. Their secondary structure includes four short double-helical elements and three loops (D, anti-codon, and T loops). Further hydrogen bonds mediate the characteristic L-shaped molecular structure. tRNAs have two regions of fundamental functional importance: the anti-codon, which is responsible for specific mRNA codon recognition, and the 3' end, to which the tRNAs corresponding amino acid is attached (by aminoacyl-tRNA synthetases). tRNAs cope with the degeneracy of the genetic code in two manners: having more than one tRNA (with a specific anti-codon) for a particular amino acid; and 'wobble' base-pairing, i.e. permitting non-standard base-pairing at the 3rd anti-codon position. The record is from Rfam by way of RNAcentral. RNAcentral also lists the same sequence under 2 other names. Lineage: Eukaryota; Metazoa; Chordata; Mammalia; Artiodactyla; Camelidae.